Molecule: unclassified non-coding RNA, 263 nt
Filed under: Glomus sp.
Lineage: Eukaryota; Fungi; Glomeromycota; Glomeromycetes; Glomerales; Glomeraceae
Description: partial contains 5.8S ribosomal RNA and internal transcribed spacer 2
Rfam family: 5.8S ribosomal RNA (bases 1-65)
Source: RNAcentral
GUGAAUCAUCAAAUUUUUGAACGCAAAUUGCACUCUCCUCGGAGUGUAUGCCUGUUUGAGGGUCAGCAUAUAAAACAUCGAUAUCGUUGCUCUUUCGCGGUGGCGGUCGUCGGAAAUUGGGUCAUCUUAAAUCUUUUGGUUUUAAGCGACUUAAAAUUUUCUUUUUGGUUCCAUGAACGUUUCUAAGAUUUAUUUCUUUACACGUUUAAGGUAUCGAUUUUUAUUAGACGUGACCAUCAUAUCGGACCUCGCCCAGAAUUUUU